GGUUAGCACAAAAUAUGUUUUAAAUGGUUUUCUAGAGUGCGAGUUUAUCAUAACGAAUUUCUUAAAAAUUUAACAUAUAUUUUGAAUUGGUGUCUACUUUAUCUAUGGAAUUGUCUCAUUUCCUACCAUCCGAGUAUCGCUAUAAACAAAACAACAGUGUUCAGACGUCUUUGUGUAUUUAUUUUGCAAACUACCAUCUGUCAUCUUUUCGUGCUGCUAAAGAAAAAAUAAAUGCUCGAUAAUGAAAAAGAGGAAAUUUUGCUCUCGCAGUUUCCAGUACAACAUUAUUAAAUUUUCAUCGAGCACGUUGUAUUGAAUAAUUUGCUCAACAUUUAAAGUUGAAUUAUUCAGUUUACUUAUACGGAACUGAUUGAGAAUUUUGAUAAAUCUAUCAAUUUUUCAAUGCGCAUGUGAUCGGAGCUUCGCCAGAUCAAAUUAAAAAAAGAAAGCAUUUGCUGAGACAAUACAACAGAAUUGAUUAAAAGAAAACUUGCUUUAAAAUAAGCCAUUACGGUGACGUUUAAUCAAUGGUUUCGAGCUAAAUUAUGAAAGAUUUUGUUUUUUAAAUAUAAAUUUCGUUUGUGUAUGCAACACAAAGAUAAGUUUUCGGCUUUUAAAUUUAUUUCUAACUUCCAUUUAAAUUAGCUGAGAAACAAAAAAUUUUUGUUCGU
Molecule: long non-coding RNA, 671 nt
Organism: Centruroides sculpturatus (bark scorpion)
Lineage: Eukaryota; Metazoa; Arthropoda; Arachnida; Scorpiones; Buthidae
Exons: 3
Source: RefSeq, a predicted model, not a curated record